RNAcentral lists this ribosomal RNA (1021 nucleotides) under uncultured organism. Its description in RNAcentral is "bacterial SSU rRNA". It matches the Rfam family "Bacterial small subunit ribosomal RNA", at positions 283 to 1306 of the family's 1533-position model. The record is from RNAcentral.
CUAGGGGGUCUGAAAGGAUGAUCCCCCACACUGGUACUGAGACACGGACCAGACUCCUACGGGAGGCAGCAGUGAGGAAUAUUGCGCAAUGGAGGAAACUCUGACGCAGCCAUGCCGCGUGCAGGAUUGACGGCCCUAUGGGUUGUAAACUGCUUUUCUGUGCCAUGAACCUUCCCUACGUGUAGGGAACUGACAGUAGCACAAGAACAAGCAUCGGCUAACUCCGUGCCAGCAGCCGCGGUAAUACGGAGGAUGCAAGCGUUAUCCGGAUUCACUAGGUUUAAAGGGUGCGUAGGCGGGAGGAUAAGUCAGUGGUGAAAGCCUGCGGCUCAACCGUAAAAUUGCCAUUGAUACUGUCCCCCUUGAGUCCGGCUGUGGUGAGUGGAAUGAGUAAUGUAGCGGUGAAAUGCUUAGAUAUUACUCAGAACUCCAAUCGCGAAGGCAGCUCACCAAACCGGCACUGACGCUGAGGCACGAAAGCGUGGGGAGCAAACAGGAUUAGAUACCCUGGUAGUCCACGCUGUAAACGUUGAUCACUCGUCGUUGGCAAUACAUCGUCAGCGGCUUAGCGAAAGCAUUAAGUGAUCCACCUGGGGAGUACGUCAGCAAUGAUGAAACUCAAAGGAAUUGACGGGGGCCCGCACAAGCGGAGGAACAUGUGGUUUAAUUCGAUGAUACGCGAGGAACCUUACCUGGGCUUAAAUGUAGAGUGCAUAGAGUGGAAACAUUCUUUUCCUUCGGGACCCUUUACAAGGUGCUGCAUGGUUGUCGUCAGCUCGUGCCGUGAGGUGUCGGGUUAAGUCCCAUAACGAGCGCAACCCCUAUCGUCAGUUGCCAUCACUUCGGGUGGGAACUCUGGCGAAACUGCCGGUGCAAACCGCGAGGAAGGUGGGGACGACGUCAAAUCAGCACGGCCCUUAUGUCCAGGGCUACACACGUGUUACAAUGGCCGGUACAGUGGGACGCUACCACGCAAGUGGAGGCUAAUCUCUAAAACCGGUCUUAGUCCGGAUCGGAGUCU